UGGUGGCUCAGUGGUAGAAUGCCUGCCUUCCAUGCAGGCGAUCAGGGUUCACUUCCCAGCCA
Molecule: transfer RNA, 62 nt
Filed under: Loxodonta africana (African savanna elephant)
Lineage: Eukaryota; Metazoa; Chordata; Mammalia; Proboscidea; Elephantidae
Rfam family: tRNA
About the family: Transfer RNA (tRNA) molecules are approximately 80 nucleotides in length. Their secondary structure includes four short double-helical elements and three loops (D, anti-codon, and T loops).
Source: Rfam by way of RNAcentral